RNAcentral lists this ribosomal RNA (586 nucleotides) under uncultured bacterium. Its description in RNAcentral is "bacterial SSU rRNA". It matches the Rfam family "Bacterial small subunit ribosomal RNA", at positions 338 to 916 of the family's 1533-position model. The record is from RNAcentral.
CCUACGGGAGGCAGCAGUAGGGAAUCUUCCGCAAUGGACGAAAGUCUGACGGAGCAACGCCGCGUGAACGAUGAAGGCCUUCGGGUCGUAAAGUUCUGUUGUUAGGGAAGAACAAGUGCUAGUUAAAUAAGCUGGCACCUUGACGGUACCUAACCAGAAAGCCACGGCUAACUACGUGCCAGCAGCCGCGGUAAUACGUAGGUGGCAAGCGUUGUCCGGAAUUAUUGGGCGUAAAGCGCGCGCAGGCGGUUUCUUAAGUCUGAUGUGGAAGCCCCCGGCUCAACCGGGGAGGGUCAUUGGAAACUGGGAAACUUGAGUGCAGAAGAGGAAAGUGGAAUUCCAAGUGUAGCGGUGAAAUGCGUAGAGAUUUGGAGGAACACCAGUGGCGAAGGCGACUUUCUGGUCUGUAACUGACGCUGAGGCGCGAAAGCGUGGGGAGCAAACAGGAUUAGAUACCCUGGUAGUCCACGCUGUAAACGAUGAGUGCUAAGUGUUAGAGGGUUUCCGCCUUUAGUGCUGAAGUUACGCAUUAAGCACUCCGCCUGGGGAGUACGGUCGCAAGACUGAAACUCAAAGGAAUUGACGG